RNAcentral lists this small nuclear RNA (107 nucleotides) under Dasypus novemcinctus (nine-banded armadillo). Lineage: Eukaryota; Metazoa; Chordata; Mammalia; Cingulata; Dasypodidae. The record is from RNAcentral.
GUGCUCACUUGGGCAGCACAUAUACUGAAAUUGGAAUGAUAUGGAGAAGAUUAGCAUGGUCCCUGUGCAAGAAUGCCAUGCAAAUUUGUGAAGUGUUCCAUAUUUUU